AAAAAUAAUUCACUAAGAGAAAAGAUUACAAGGUGAUUACCGACUCCACGGACUCAACCUCUCUUAACCUCCUAUGAAUCUUCGCGCUACCCUCCGGGUUGUCCACGCCCUCACGUCCGAAUCCACGAACGCCUCCACUUCGAAUCCACGAAGCUUCAAUCACGCCGAAUCCACGACGCCACUCGAAUCCACGAGCCCUCGAUCCGAAUCCACGAACCGCCUUCAAUCACGCCGAAUCCACGACGCCGUCAUGAAGAACAUCAUGUGUAUGGUGAUCCUUCGCUUAGAGUAUCGAUA
Molecule: long non-coding RNA, 297 nt
Filed under: Ananas comosus (pineapple)
Lineage: Eukaryota; Viridiplantae; Streptophyta; Magnoliopsida; Poales; Bromeliaceae
Description: long non-coding RNA (ACOM_LNC012138)
Source: RNAcentral